RNAcentral lists this ribosomal RNA (372 nucleotides) under uncultured organism. RNAcentral describes it as "bacterial SSU rRNA". It matches the Rfam family "Bacterial small subunit ribosomal RNA", at positions 526 to 896 of the family's 1533-position model. The record is from RNAcentral.
CGUAGGUGGCAAGCGUUGUCCGGAAUUAUUGGGCGUAAAGGGCGCGUAGGCGGCGCGAGCAGUCGGCGGUGAAAGCCCGGAGCUCAACUCCGGGUCGGCCGUCGAUACUCUCGUGCUUGAGCACUGUAGAGGCAGGUGGAAUUCCGGGUGUAGCGGUGGAAUGCGUAGAGAUCCGGAAGAACACCGGUGGCGAAGGCGGCCUGCUGGGCAGUAGCUGACGCUGAUGCGCGACAGCGUGGGGAGCAAACAGGAUUAGAUACCCUGGUAGUCCACGCCGUAAACGAUGGGCACUAGGUGCUUGGGGGAGCGACCCUCUGAGUGCCGGCGCUAACGCAUUAAGUGCCCCGCCUGGGGAGUACGGCCGCAAGGCUG